Molecule: long non-coding RNA, 623 nt
Filed under: Cavia porcellus (domestic guinea pig)
Lineage: Eukaryota; Metazoa; Chordata; Mammalia; Rodentia; Caviidae
Description: lncRNA (ENSCPOG00000036874.1)
Source: RNAcentral
UAGUGCACAAGACUCAAGUUGUUAAUGCAGCCUGUUGAGUUCCAUCCAUGUGAGAACAGAAACUCUAGCAUUAACAAAACUAGAAGUCUGGUGGUAUUUGCUAAUGAGACUUGGACCUCAUCUCCCUGCUAAUUUUGAACAGGUUUGUGUGCCUCUGAUUCAGAGCACAAUAAGUGAUUCUAGUACUUCACCUCCAGGAAAUUCAUCACGUGUAGCUGCUUCUCCAGGAUUAAGUCCUAUGACUCCUGUACACAAAGGUGCUUCCCCAUAUGGAGUUCCUGUAACUACACGGAUGAAUAUGAGUACAAAUUUAGGUGGAAUGGCAGCAAUUCCUUCCAUUCAGCUUUUGGGACUUGAAAUGCUGCUUCAUUUUUUAUUGGGUCCAGAAGUCUUAAAUUUUGCUAAGCAACACAAACUUGUAUUGAACUUAGAACCACUUGAACAUCCGUUAAUCAGCAGUCCUUCUUUUUUUUCUAAACAUGCACAUACACUUAUCACUGCUGUUCAUGACAGCUUUGUUGCAGUUGAAGAAGAUGCUCUGGUAAAUAGUACAAAAUUUUUUAUUUAUGAUCUUUUUUUAUAGAAGUUAAGAGUAGGGAUGGUGAUGCACAACUAUAAGCCCA